RNAcentral lists this ribosomal RNA (253 nucleotides) under uncultured Prevotella sp. RNAcentral describes it as "partial 16S ribosomal RNA". It matches the Rfam family "Bacterial small subunit ribosomal RNA", at positions 524 to 776 of the family's 1533-position model. Lineage: Bacteria; Pseudomonadati; Bacteroidota; Bacteroidia; Bacteroidales; Prevotellaceae. The record is from RNAcentral.
UACGGGAGGUCCGGGCGUUAUCCGGAUUUAUUGGGUUUAAAGGGAGCGUAGGCCGGUCUUUAAGCGUGCCGUGAAAUUUUGUGGCUCAACCAUGAGAGUGCGGCGCGAACUGGAGACCUUGAGUGCGCGGAAGGCAGGCGGAAUUCGUGGUGUAGCGGUGAAAUGCAUAGAUAUCACGCAGAACGCCGAUUGCGAAGGCAGCAUACCGGCGCCCAACUGACGCUGAGGCACGAAAGCGUGGGGAUCGAACAGG